This 463-nucleotide ribosomal RNA is filed under the name uncultured bacterium. RNAcentral describes it as "bacterial SSU rRNA". It matches the Rfam family "Bacterial small subunit ribosomal RNA", at positions 33 to 507 of the family's 1533-position model. The record is from RNAcentral.
AGGACGACGCUGGCGGCGUGCUUAACACAUGCAAGUCGAACGGUAAGGCCCUUCGGGGUACACGAGUGGCGAACGGGUGAGUAACACGUGGGUGAUCUGCCCUGCACUUCGGGAUAAGCCUGGGAAACUGGGUCUAAUACCGGAUAGGACCAUGGACUUCACGGUUUGUGGUGGAAAGCUUUUGCGGUGUGGGAUGGGCCCGCGGCCUAUCAGCUUGUUGGUGGGGUAAUGGCCUACCAAGGCGACGACGGGUAGCCGGCCUGAGAGGGUGUCCGGCCACACUGGGACUGAGAUACGGCCCAGACUCCUACGGGAGGCAGCAGUGGGGAAUAUUGCACAAUGGGCGCAAGCCUGAUGCAGCGACGCCGCGUGAGGGAUGACGGCCUUCGGGUUGUAAACCUCUUUCAAUAGGGACGAAGCGCAAGUGACGGUACCUAUAGAAGAAGCACCGGCCAACUACGUG